AUGGGGGAGAAUUUUGGUAUUUAAUUUGGUUACACUUCUUCACUAGCAAUUAUCUCCAAAGACUAUAUAUAUUGAGAAAAACCAUGCUUAUUUCAUACUUGGAAACAUUUUUAAAUUAAGAAAAUGGAAUCUAUAGUGUACAGGUUAAAAUAUCAUAAAGAAGAAAUUUUAGACAUGGUGGUCUGCCACCAACCGUGUAUAAUAUGCAGUUUAGACGACACGAGUAAAACUGAAGUUUUAACCAUGCUAUCUUGCUUAGAUAGAUUGGAAGAUUAUGAUAUAGACUUGGCUUCAUUAUAUCAUACUUUGGUGCAUUCAACUCCGAAACAGGGGUUUAUGUUUCUGUAUUAUACUAGAAGUGAUAUUUCAGUGUGGUUAUUUGAAUUAAUCCAAGCAAUGAGGGAGAAAAAGGAUGGCGUAGGCAGGAAGAUAUUGGAGAUGGUAAUACUCACCAUACAAGAAAGGUAACAUUCAAUUUUGUUGGUUAAAUUUUAAACAACUUCUACAAAGACAACCUUUGCACUGGUCGUUUUAUACGAUCAGAUCUUCUUAACCUCUGAGGUGGGAUAGGUUGAUUAACAUUUUGAAUAACAUUUUGUUGAUUAUUUUGUCCGUCUUGGUUAUUGUGCUGAGGUUCUGGUUGAUUAUUUUGUCUGUUCCCGUUUAUGCCACGAGCUAUAGCUGGUAUACGCCUUACAAGUUGGUUUAAUUGAAUGACAAAUUCAUUUCCUGGAAACAGUUGAUGUAAUAUAAGCAGAGUCAGCAAAAUCAUAUACUGAAAGUAACCUGUAAGAAUCAAUAUAUUUGAAAUUCAGAAUAAUGACUUCCACAUGACUUAGAAA
This 842-nucleotide long non-coding RNA is filed under the name Mytilus galloprovincialis (Mediterranean mussel). Lineage: Eukaryota; Metazoa; Mollusca; Bivalvia; Mytilida; Mytilidae. The record is from RNAcentral.